Molecule: small nucleolar RNA, 130 nt
Organism: Molossus molossus (Pallas's mastiff bat)
Lineage: Eukaryota; Metazoa; Chordata; Mammalia; Chiroptera; Molossidae
Product: small nucleolar RNA SNORA38
Exons: 1
Source: RefSeq, a predicted model, not a curated record
CCCUCCUACAAAGGUGUGCCUGUGGUUUCCCUAACAUUGGACACAAGAAUUGGAGGCAAAGAAAUGUGGACUUGGAGAAGUCUUGGGCCAGCUUGCUCCCUACAGGCUCAAGAUCAACCAUCCCACAUAG